This 294-nucleotide ribosomal RNA is filed under the name uncultured bacterium. RNAcentral's name for it is "partial 16S ribosomal RNA". It matches the Rfam family "Bacterial small subunit ribosomal RNA", at positions 49 to 339 of the family's 1533-position model. The record is from RNAcentral.
UAACACAUGCAAGUCGAACGAGGGUUUGGAAAGCUUGCUUUCCGAAACCUAGUGGCGGACGGGUGAGUAACGCGUGAGCAACCUGCCCUUCGGAGGGGGAUAGCGUCUGGAAACGGACGGUAAUACCGCAUAAAGUGUCUUGACCGCAUGAUCGAGAUACCAAAACUGAGGUGCCGAAGGAUGGGCUCGCGUUGGAUUAGAUAGUUGGUGGGGUAACGGCCCACCUAGUCUUCGAUGGAUAGGGGUUCUGAGAGGAAGGUCCCCACAUUGGAACUGAGACACGGUCCAAACUCC